Molecule: long non-coding RNA, 2003 nt
Organism: Carcharodon carcharias (great white shark)
Lineage: Eukaryota; Metazoa; Chordata; Chondrichthyes; Lamniformes; Lamnidae
Exons: 2
Source: RefSeq, a predicted model, not a curated record
AAAACCUCCCUGUCACUAAGCAUCAAGGCACUAAGCAGCGCCCACUCUACACUGUGAAGUUUAAUUUGGGGGCACGUCUAAUCUGGACUGUCUGAAAGUAGAACGGUCUUGCCACCUCUCUCAGCUGUGUGUUUGUUCCCAACUUGCCAGAGUCUACCAGUCUUGAACCACUUUAACCCGAAGCGUGAUAUCUUCCCCCAUAGCGACCGAGACACAAUGACCAUUUUAAGUGAUUCAGCAUCGAAAGAGUUAACGGCGCUCCUUCAGCUCAAAGCUAACAUUUUCAGGAAGGAUUCCCAGCUUCCUUAAAGGAAGAAAACCAUUUGUUAGGGGAGCAUCCUAGCCUCUGUGUCCCCCACCAACUAAGACCCCCACUCCCCCAUUUCUCGCCGUUCACUCCCUCCCUCCCGAUGCUCCCAUCAGCUUUGAGAGGCAGCAGAGUCUGGGCUACCGGCCGACGAGGUCGUAAAUAAACAACUGCUUUUACGGCAGGAGUUUUCUCCCACAACCAGAGUAAAGCCCUAUGGUUUUCAGGGAGAGGAGCGGGCGGUCAUUUCUUGUCUUGUUUCUUUUUUAAGGAAAGGGAAAAGGUUGAGAAAUGAUCAGGAAAGCGGUGAUCGGGAGACGGGCGAGCGAACCGGGGGGGGUGAGUGGACCCGGGGUGGCGACAGAAAGAGUUUUGUUGGAUGAGUAACCCGGGUGAAUUAAAACUGUGGGCUGACUCCGGCGCUGACUCGCCGGAUCUUGUUCGCCCUGAGCCUCCCCCGCGAACCGGUGCUGGGCUAAACUUGACACCCGUGUGCUGAGUGUGCAGUGGAAUACUGGCAACGAUUAGAGGCUCUGAUUUAAAGGCGGAAAAAGAAAAAGAUUCAAGGUCGUCGAGACUGGGCUUCGGUGAACACUAAGCGAACGCUAAGACAAGACAAGAAAACCCGUGCAAAAAGAUCCUCAAGAGAGAAAAAAAUAAUAAUUGCCUUACCAGACAUUAUAGGAUUAUUAGACUGCAGUUUGCUUCAAGAGAGAUGCUUUGAGUGGCCACAGCAAUAAAUCUUUGCAAAUUUGUUGACAAGAGUGCAAUAUUCUUAAAAUUAAGGCAAAGUGCUUCCUGCAGCACUGAAAUUUAAACAAUACACAAACAAAAUUAUUGCACUAUACCUUGGGAUAUAACUUAGAGUUUUGCAGCACACAUGCCGACCUUUUUAAAACCUCUACAAUCCAAUGAUUUGACAAUGAAUGAUUGCGCGAUACUUUCAAUUUGAAUAUUCAAAGCUUGGACAAAAAGAGUGCUCUCUUUUUGAAACACUGUGCAUUUCCAUCUAAUAAAGACUCCAAUGGAAUAAAAUACAAUGUAAAGUGUGAGACUUUAUGCAGGAUUGGGAACAUUUUUGUGAUUUUAGCAAGCUUUGGCCAGCGGAGUCUGGGACACUCAAAAUGUCCAUAAUUUUCGCCCUAGGAGCUCAUUUUCGCCCCAGAUCACUCACAACUUCAUAAGCAAGUUCACCGGCGACGUACUGCAGCUUUGGAUAUAGGUUAUAUUGUCGUUGUAUUGCAAAAAGUAACAUUUGUGCCGAAUUUGGUGCCAAACAUGGCAGAUUGUGGGCGUGGCUUGGAGCAGUCCUCAAUUCGACCAUACAGUGACAAUGAAAGCUGCAAAGUGGUGAUUCUCACGUUUACAUCUGCAUUGAUUUCAUUCUGUAGAAUCCUUAUUAAUAAAGAUGCUUCUCACUAAAUUAUGUAAUUAGAGGCAAUGACACUCCUUGCGGGCCCUGCAACUGUACCUGCAGAGUCUGAGAUCACCAUUCUGAAUUGUUCCAAAAUUAUUUUUCCGAAUUUAUAGGCGUUAACCUGCAAUGGAAGAUUUCGGGCCUUUCAACCGGAUUUCAAUUUACCAUCACACCACUGACGCUUAGACGCGGAGAGCAUAGCCUAGUAUUUUAAAUUCAUGCGUUCAUUGGUUUUAAUUUUGUUAUGGUGUAUAACCAAUAAAAAUACUGCUUUUGAAA